GUCGAACGGCAGCAUAGGAGCUUGCUCCUGAUGGCGAGUGGCGAACGGGUGAGUAAUAUAUCGGAACGUGCCCUAGAGUGGGGGAUAACUAGUCGAAAGAUUAGCUAAUACCGCAUACGAUCUACGGAUGAAAGUGGGGGAUCGCAAGACCUCAUGCUCCUGGAGCGGCCGAUAUCUGAUUAGCUAGUUGGUGGGGUAAAAGCCUACCAAGGCGACGAUCAGUAGCUGGUCUGAGAGGACGACCAGCCACACUGGGACUGAGACACGGCCCAGACUCCUACGGGAGGCAGCAGUGGGGAAUUUUGGACAAUGGGGGCAACCCUGAUCCAGCAAUGCCGCGUGAGUGAAGAAGGCCUUCGGGUUGUAAAGCUCUUUUGUCAGGGAAGAAACGGUUGAGGCUAAUAUCCUCGACUAAUGACG
RNAcentral lists this ribosomal RNA (420 nucleotides) under Herbaspirillum seropedicae. Its description in RNAcentral is "bacterial SSU rRNA". It matches the Rfam family "Bacterial small subunit ribosomal RNA", at positions 61 to 474 of the family's 1533-position model. Lineage: Bacteria; Pseudomonadati; Pseudomonadota; Betaproteobacteria; Burkholderiales; Oxalobacteraceae. The record is from RNAcentral.